Molecule: ribosomal RNA, 276 nt
Filed under: Triticum aestivum (bread wheat)
Lineage: Eukaryota; Viridiplantae; Streptophyta; Magnoliopsida; Poales; Poaceae
Description: partial small subunit ribosomal RNA
Source: RNAcentral
AUGGCGGAGCUCGCGUCAGGCGCUGUGAGCUCGCUGCUGGGCGUCAUCCGCAACGAGGCGCUGCUGCUGGGCCGCGUCCGGCACGACGUGCAGUUCAUCCAGGAGGAGAUGGAGAGCAUGCAGAGCUUCUUGACUCAUCUGUCAAAGAAGGCACCCGCCGGCGGCGAGCACGACGAGCAGAUUCGCACGUGGAUGAACCAGGUCCGGCUGCUCGCCCAGGACAGAACAACUGCAUCGAUCUGUAUCUGUACCGCGGCAACCCCGAGAUCCAUCUAG